Molecule: ribosomal RNA, 810 nt
Filed under: uncultured archaeon
Lineage: Archaea
Description: bacterial SSU rRNA
Rfam family: Archaeal small subunit ribosomal RNA
Source: RNAcentral
UUCCGGUUGAUCCCGCCGGACCCCACUGCUAUCGAGAUGGGACUAAGGUAUGCUAGUCGAACGACCAGAACUAUGUCUGGAAGUGGCACACUGCUCAGUAACACGUAGCUAACCUACCCUUAGGACGUGGAUACCCCCGAGAAAUUGGGGUUAAUCCGCGAUAGAUGUAAUGUCCUGGAAUGGUAUUACGUCUAAAGGUAUUUCAUACAUGUUUGAAAUAUGCCUAAGGAUGGGGCUGCGGCCGAUCAGGCUGUUGGUGAGGUAAUGGCUCACCAAACCUUUGACCGGUACGGGCCAUGAGAGUGGUAGCCCGGAGAUGGACACUGAGACAAGGGUCCAGGCCCUAAGGGGCGCAGCAACCGCGAAACCUCCACAAUGCACUCACGUGCGAUGGGGCUAUCUCGAGUGCCACCUGAUGAAGGUGGCUUUUCCUUGGUCUUCAAAGCCUUGGGAAUAAGAGGGGGGCAAGACUGGUGUCAGCCGCCGCGGUAACACCAGCCCCUCGAGUGGUGGGGAUGAUUAUUUGGCCUAAAGCGUCCGUAGCCGGCCGGGUAAGUUUCCCGUUAAAUCCAACGUCUCAAGCGUUGGACCGCGGGAGAUACUACAUGGCUAGAGAGUGGGAGAGGUCAGCGGUAUUCUGGGGGUAGGGGCGAAAUCCUUUGAUCCCCGGAGGACCACCAGUGGCGAAGGCUGCUGACUAGAACACGUCUGACGGUCAGGGACGAAAGCUGGGGUAGCGAACCGGAUUAGAUACCCGGGUAGUCCCAGCCGUAAACGAUGCAUGCUAGGUGUUGGGUUGGCCACGAGCCA